GGCGUGAGGGUGCUAAGGUAGCGAAAUUCCUUGCCUUUUAAUUGUAGGCCUGCAUGAAUGGCUCGACGAGGGUUUAACUGUCUCUAGUUUUAGAUUUUAAAUUGGAUUAAAGGUGAAGAUACCUUUAUAAAAAAGUCAGACAAGAAGACCCCGUGCAACUUUUAAAAUCAGCUUAUUAAGAAAUCUUAGAUUUUUAGGUGGGGCGCCUAUUAAGUAAGUGUAACCUUUUUAACUGCAAAAAACUCUCAGGUAUAGACCCGGUAACUACCGAUCAUAGGAGAAGUUACGCCGGGGAUAACAGGCUAAUUCACUAGUAGAGAACGUAUUGGCUAGUGAGAUUGGCACCUCGAUGUUGAAUCAGGGAUGAUACCUUUAAGGCGUAGAAGCUUUAAAAGUAGGUCUGUUCGACCUUUAAUACCCUACGUGAUCUGG
This 432-nucleotide ribosomal RNA is filed under the name Dendostrea sandvichensis. RNAcentral describes it as "partial large subunit ribosomal RNA". It matches the Rfam family "Bacterial large subunit ribosomal RNA", at positions 1939 to 2608 of the family's 2925-position model. Lineage: Eukaryota; Metazoa; Mollusca; Bivalvia; Ostreida; Ostreidae. The record is from RNAcentral.